UACGGGGGGGGCAAGCGUUGCUCGGAAUUACUGGGCGUAAAGGGCUCGUAGGUGGCCAACUAAGUCAGACGUGAAAUCCCUCGGCUUAACCGGGGAACUGCGUCUGAUACUGGAUGGCUUGAGUUUGGGAGAGGGACGCGGAAUUCCAGGUGCAGCGGUGAAAUGCGUAGAUAUCUGGAGGAACACCGGUGGCGAAGGCGGCAUCCUGGACCAACACUGACACUGAGGAGCGAAAGCCAGGGGAGCAAACAGG
Molecule: ribosomal RNA, 253 nt
Filed under: uncultured bacterium
Lineage: Bacteria
Description: partial 16S ribosomal RNA
Rfam family: Bacterial small subunit ribosomal RNA
Source: RNAcentral